CCUACUGGGGGCAGCAGUGAGGAAUAUUGGUCAAUGGCCGGAAGGCUGCACCAGCCAAGCCGCGUGAAGGACGAAGGUGCCAAGCAUUGUAAACUUCUUUUGUCAAGGGACAAAAUCAGGCUCGAGAGCCUGACCGAGGGUACUUGCAGCAAACGCAUCGGCUAACUCCGUGCCAGCAGCCGCGGUAAUACGGAGGAUGCGAGCGUUAUCCGGAUUUAUUGGGUUUAAAGGGGGCGUAGGCGGGCGGUUAAGUCCGCGGUAAACGCCCGGGGCUCAACCCCGGCGAGCCGUUGGAACUGGCUGUCUUGAGAUGUCGAGAGGUAUGCGGAAUGCGCAGUGUAGCGGUGAAAGGCUUAGAUAUUGCGCAGAACUCCGAUUGCGAAGGCAGCAUACCGGCGGUGAUCUGACGCUGAGGCACGAAAGCGUGGGUAUCGAACAGGAUUAGAUACCCGGGUAGUC
This 459-nucleotide ribosomal RNA is filed under the name uncultured bacterium. Its description in RNAcentral is "partial 16S ribosomal RNA". It matches the Rfam family "Bacterial small subunit ribosomal RNA", at positions 338 to 795 of the family's 1533-position model. The record is from RNAcentral.